GAUGAACGCUGGCGGCGUGCCUAAUACAUGCAAGUCGAGCGAACAGACGAGGAGCUUGCUCCUCUGACGUUAGCGGCGGACGGGUGAGUAACACGUGGAUAACCUACCUAUAAGACUGGGAUAACUUCGGGAAACCGGAGCUAAUACCGGAUAAUAUAUUGAACCGCAUGGUUCAAUAGUGAAAGACGGUUUUGCUGUCACUUAUAGAUGGAUCCGCGCCGCAUUAGCUAGUUGGUAAGGUAACGGCUUACCAAGGCAACGAUGCGUAGCCGACCUGAGAGGGUGGUCGGCCACACUGGAACUGAGACACGGUCCAGACUCCUAAGGGAGGCAGCAGUAGGGAAUCUUCCGCAAUGGGCGAAAGCCUGACGGAGCAACGCCGCGUGAGUGAUGAAGGUCUUCGGAUCGUAAAACUCUGUUAUUAGGGAAGAACAAAUGUGUAAGUAACUAUGCACGUCUUGACGGUACCUAAUCAGAAAGCCACGGCUAACUACGUG
Molecule: ribosomal RNA, 497 nt
Filed under: uncultured bacterium
Lineage: Bacteria
Description: partial 16S ribosomal RNA
Rfam family: Bacterial small subunit ribosomal RNA
Source: RNAcentral